UACAGAGGGUGCGAGCGUUAAUCGGAAUUACUGGGCGUAAAGCGUGCGCAGGCGGCUUUGCAAGACAGAUGUGAAAUCCCCGGGCUUAACCUGGGAACUGCAUUUGUGACUGCAUGGCUGGAGUGCGGCAGAGGGGGAUGGAAUUCCGCGUGUAGCAGUGAAAUGCGUAGAUAUGCGGAGGAACACCGAUGGCGAAGGCAAUCCCCUGGGCCUGCACUGACGCUCAUGCACGAAAGCGUGGGGAGCAAACAGG
RNAcentral lists this ribosomal RNA (253 nucleotides) under uncultured bacterium. RNAcentral describes it as "partial 16S ribosomal RNA". It matches the Rfam family "Bacterial small subunit ribosomal RNA", at positions 524 to 776 of the family's 1533-position model. The record is from RNAcentral.